RNAcentral lists this ribosomal RNA (460 nucleotides) under uncultured bacterium. RNAcentral describes it as "bacterial SSU rRNA". It matches the Rfam family "Bacterial small subunit ribosomal RNA", at positions 340 to 789 of the family's 1533-position model. The record is from RNAcentral.
UACGGGAGGCAGCAGUGGGGAAUAUUGCACAAUGGGCGAAAGCCUGAUGCAGCUAUGCCGCGUGUAUGAAGAAGGCCUUAGGGUUGUAAAGUACUUUCAUCGGGGAGGAAAAACAAAACUAAUAAUUUUAUUUCUUGACGUUACCCGAAAAAGAAGCACCGGCUAACUCCGUGCCAGCAGCCGCGGUAAUACGGAGGGUGCUAGCGUUAAUCAGAAUUACUGGGCGUAAAGAGCACGUAGGUGGUUUUUUUAAAGUCAGAUGUGAAAUCCCUGGGCUUAACCUAGGAACUGCAUUUUGAAACUGAAAUACUAGAGUAUCGUAGAGGGAGGUAGAAUUCUAGGUGUAGCGGUGAAAUGCGUAGAUAUCUGGAGGAAUACCUGUGGCGAAAGCGGCCUCCUAAACGAAUACUGACACUGAGGUGCGAAAGCGUGGGGAGCAAACGAGGGAUUAGAUACCCGU